Molecule: long non-coding RNA, 1071 nt
Organism: Eublepharis macularius
Lineage: Eukaryota; Metazoa; Chordata; Lepidosauria; Squamata; Eublepharidae
Exons: 5
Source: RefSeq, a predicted model, not a curated record
UGAGAAGCACCGAACAGGCCCAUGACAGCAGCGGGACCAAAUGACCUAGCGGGAUUCAUAGAGCAGCCAUCGAAAUAGAUCUGUGAAAUCAAACAGAAAGUUUGCUUUUUGUGACUCCUGAAAGCGAGACAAUGGGGACCUAUUGAAUGUCCCUGCGGUCGUUAGAUAACCAAGGUAUUGCAUAACGAUACAGAAAAUGGCACCUUGUCUAUUUACUCUGCCUUAAAGGGACCCCAAGUGACUUCCAACAUCAUUCCCCCUUCCCUCAUUUUAUCUUCAUAACAACAAUCCUGCGAGAUCCCCUGGCCUUUUGAUCAAGGUCUAUUGUAUCCAUGCCUGAGGCGCAAGGAAAGAAGGGGACCGGAUGGUGGCUGGCUUCCUUGGUGCUUGUAACAGUUGUCAGUACAGGUGAAUAAAGACUCUGGAACAUGUGAUAUCUUAUUUAGCAGGUACUGCGUGAAGUGGACCAUAGAAUUAUUCAGCUGGAAGAAACAAAACUCCAUCUAGCGCACCAUGCUGCUGUGACGUAACUGGUUCAGCAUGAGCCAGCUACAUUCUCGACAUGUUAUUUACACUUCUCAGAGUGUUUUUGCACCGAUACAGUCUUAUUGACCACCGUGUACAAUCCAGAGAUCAGGCAUGCAGGAUAAAGCAGCGUGCGCAGCACAUACUUAAGCAAUUAGUCGUGCAUGCAAAUCAGCUCACGUGCUGUAAGCAACAAACAAUAUUCCAAGAAUCAGUUGGUGAAAUAAAGUGGCUAGUCCAAUAAUAACUGAGUGGGAACUUGAACUCGCGUCUCACAGUGUUUAUUCCAAUAUUCUAACAAUUACAAUCACACCACUGGGUCUCUAUUUGUUAUUAUAAUAAUAAGCAGGAGUCAUUUCAUAGAAAAAGAGCUGGAGGAACUCAUUAGUAUAACUCAUUAGCAUAUGCCACACCCCUUGACAUCCCCGGAAGUGUAUUAUUAGCAUAACUGAUCUGCAUAUGCCACACCCUCUGACAUCACCUAUCCUGGGUGUUUUGGACCCAAUCCUGGCCAUUCAGGGCCGAAAUUGGGCCCAAAAUGGCAAA